RNAcentral lists this unclassified non-coding RNA (336 nucleotides) under Hevea brasiliensis (rubber tree). Lineage: Eukaryota; Viridiplantae; Streptophyta; Magnoliopsida; Malpighiales; Euphorbiaceae. The record is from RNAcentral.
AUUGGAAUUUUUCCAGAAUCAAUGGUACACUUAUUUUUAUAUGAACUUUCAAAUGGUCAUUUGUUUUUCCUUUUGUUUCAUGUCACUCAUUUCUGCAUUUUUUUGGUGGUUUGUGUUUUUUGUAUUUGCGAGUAUUUUUUUGAUGGUUUUAAAUGUUUGGUUGUCAAGCUUUUCUCCACUUUUUUUGUGUGGGCUGUGUUGGUCUCUUGGUUGCCUUUCAUAGGAGCCAUGCUUGAAUUUUUAUGUGAUGCUACUUCAGCCUUGGCUUUAAGGCUAUUAAUGUAUUCUACUAAUUGUGUUCUUCUUUGUUCAGCCUGAUAUGCAAAUAGAGGAUGA